AAAUAACUACGAGUAAAAACUUAAAAUUUAAAAGACUUGACGGUACUUCACACCAGCCUAGAGGAGCCUGUCUAAUAACCGACAACCCACGAUUAACCCAACCCCUGCUAGCCAAACAGUCUAUAUACCGCCGUCGCCAGCUUACCCUGUGAAAGAAAUAAAAGUAAGCUAAACAAUCCAACAUUAACACGACAGGUCGAGGUGUAACUAAUGAAGGGGCCAAGAUGGGCUACAUUUUCUAACCCAGAACAAACCACGAAUAGACUAUGAAAUUAGAAACUGAAGGCGGAUUUAGCAGUAAGAUAAGAAUAAAAUACCUCUCCGAAGCCAAAGCAAUGAAGUGCGC
Molecule: ribosomal RNA, 346 nt
Filed under: Dendroaspis angusticeps (eastern green mamba)
Lineage: Eukaryota; Metazoa; Chordata; Lepidosauria; Squamata; Elapidae
Description: partial 12S ribosomal RNA
Source: RNAcentral